RNAcentral lists this long non-coding RNA (277 nucleotides) under Physcomitrium patens. RNAcentral's name for it is "long non-coding RNA (PPAT_LNC004736)". The record is from RNAcentral. Lineage: Eukaryota; Viridiplantae; Streptophyta; Bryopsida; Funariales; Funariaceae.
AGCGAUCUGACAAGUACAAAAAAUGGAACAACUACACAUUUUGAAAGUCUUUUAUUCUUUUUGACGUCCAAUAGAUAUCCAACUUCAUCGAUUCCAUAUUGGUAAUAAUUAUCAUAGAAGGUGGUUUUGAUGCACGUCUAGCUCUCAUAUUUUGGCUAGUGUCUUCUUUGUCUGUAGCUCCCUUUGUACUUUCAAUUGCCAUGACGCUCUCUCUCUCAAAUUCUUAACUAGAACUACUAUGCUCAAAAAUAUAAGGAACACAAGAAAUAGCAAUCUC